Molecule: ribosomal RNA, 497 nt
Filed under: uncultured bacterium
Lineage: Bacteria
Description: partial 16S ribosomal RNA
Rfam family: Bacterial small subunit ribosomal RNA
Source: RNAcentral
GAUGAACGCUGGCGGCGUGCCUAAUACAUGCAAGUCGAGCGAACAGACGAGGAGCUUGCUCCUCUGACGUUAGCGGCGGACGGGUGAGUAACACGUGGAUAACCUACCUAUAAGACUGGGAUAACUUCGGGAAACCGGAGCUAAUACCGGAUAAUAUAUUGAACCGCAUGGUUCAAUAGUGAAAGACGGUUUUGCUGUCACUUAUAGAUGGAUCCGCGCCGCAUUAGCUAGUUGGUAAGGUAACGGCUUACCAAGGCAACGAUGCGUAGCCGACCUGAGAGGGUGAUCGGCCACCCUGGAACUGAGACACGGUCCAGACUCCUACGGGAGGCCGCAGUAGGGAAUCUUCCGCAAUGGGCGAAAGCCUGACGGAGCAACGCCGCGUGAGUGAUGAAGGUCUUCGGAUCGUAAAACUCUGUUAUUAGGGAAGAACAAAUGUGUAAGUAACUAUGCACGUCUUGACGGUACCUAAUCAGAAAGCCACGGCUAACUACGUG